RNAcentral lists this long non-coding RNA (218 nucleotides) under Cicer arietinum (chickpea). RNAcentral describes it as "long non-coding RNA (CARI_LNC001675)". The record is from RNAcentral. Lineage: Eukaryota; Viridiplantae; Streptophyta; Magnoliopsida; Fabales; Fabaceae.
UUUAUUUGAAUAAUAACUAAAGUUUUUUCAUAACAGCACACCUCAAACCAUUAAGCAAUCUAUUAGUAAGUUAAUACAACCCAAACUAUUAAUAAUAGAAGCAAACCAUAAGUACAGUGCCAAUAAAACAAAAUAACAGUUCAAUGCAACGAAUGUUCCAAAAGCAUGAUUGAGGCACGGAGGAUAUACAGAGACUCAAAUAUUGGCUUUUAUUAUCC